AUUAUAUAAAACUGAAUAAAAUCUCAUUCAUUUGGUACAUGUAUGUUUCUUAUAGUUUGUGUAUACAUUUUAUUGUAUAUAUUUCAUUUUCCAAAAAUAAAUCUCAUUAACUACUCGGGUAUCCAAUUACGUCGAGGCGACGAAUGACCGUACAGGUUGCGACAAUGUGACGUCAACUGAAAAUGAGAAAGGUGAUUGGCUAUUGAGUAUGUGACGUCAACUGAAAAUGAGAAACGUGAUUGGCUAUUGAGUAUGUGACGUCAACUGCAAAUGAGAAACGUGAUUGGCUAUUGAGUCCACCUGCUCAUUCAGGCGCAACGGAACGUUAUUUUGCCCCUAGAAUUAGCCGAGUAGAGGUGUACAACAGUCUUGAAGGAGCGGUGAUUCCAGUCAUAUCCUGCCGAGCAGAAGCUGGUGGCAGAUGUUCCAGUUGUGGUAUUUGAGUUACCAAGAUGAGCGUGUGGAGAGGUGGGGGCUGGGCGAAACAGCAAUGGUGAUGUAUCUAUUUGUGAAGAAAGCAACAUUGGUGGAGGGGAACCAACGCCACACUGCAGAGUAAUGGAAGAGGCUGUGACCUGCAGGUGACACGCUUGAGGACCCUAGACGUGGAUACCAUCGUGUGUAGUUACUGUAGGGACACAACCUCCAGCUGUUGAAUGAUCAAGUUUCUGUUCCAUAGAAGAACCGACUACGGAAGGCGCACGAGGUACACCAUUGAUGAAGAAUGAAAAGGGAUGGAGCCCGAGGACAGAGAACUGCACCCAUGAGGUCGACCCACAUUGCUAGUUCCAGCGGGCAGCCGACGCGUUCGCCCUUCUGGGUUGUGGUUUCCGCGCGGUGUUUGCGGUGCUCGGGCGGAACCCCCAAAUUGAUAAGCCUGCAGAUAGCUAAUAAAUAAUCGGAUGAAUUGUAAUUAGUGUAAAUAAAUUAAUGCAAGUUUAAUUGACUACAUAUGGAUGUAGUUAUGAAUUGUAAUUAAAAUGUAGUUUUUAAAUAUAAGGAAUAAUCAUAAUAAUGAUUGUUAUGCACUAGUGAAUAAGUCAUUAUCAUUGCUGUUAAUGAGCAAAUACUGUUACUGAAUAAAAUAGGUAAUAAAUAUAGUAAAUAAUAAAAAAAAAAAUUAGUUAUUAAUAAUAAAAUAUGAUUUAGCAUUAUCCAAAAAAUAAGUCGGCAAUCUGAGCAGGUUUUGUUCAAGCUCAGAAAAUGAAAAUAGAAGUAGUGUUAGCGUUGAACGUUG
Non-coding RNA from Procambarus clarkii (red swamp crayfish), 1237 nucleotides. Lineage: Eukaryota; Metazoa; Arthropoda; Malacostraca; Decapoda; Cambaridae. The record is from RefSeq and is a predicted model, not a curated record.